RNAcentral lists this ribosomal RNA (730 nucleotides) under uncultured bacterium. Its description in RNAcentral is "bacterial SSU rRNA". It matches the Rfam family "Bacterial small subunit ribosomal RNA", at positions 771 to 1501 of the family's 1533-position model. The record is from RNAcentral.
AACAGGAUUAGAUACCCUGGUAGUCCACGCCGUAAACGAUGUCGACUUGGAGGUUGUGCCCUUGAGGCGUGGCUUCCGGAGCUAACGCGUUAAGUCGACCGCCUGGGGAGUACGGCCGCAAGGUUAAAACUCAAAUGAAUUGACGGGGGCCCGCACAAGCGGUGGAGCAUGUGGUUUAAUUCGAUGCAACGCGAAGAACCUUACCUACUCUUGACAUCCAGAGAACUUAGCAGAGAUGCUUUGGUGCCUUCGGGAACUCUGAGACAGGUGCUGCAUGGCUGUCGUCAGCUCGUGUUGUGAAAUGUUGGGUUAAGUCCCGCAACGAGCGCAACCCUUAUCCUUUGUUGCCAGCGGUUCGGCCGGGAACUCAAAGGAGACUGCCAGUGAUGAACUGGAGGAAGGUGGGGAUGACGUCAAGUCAUCAUGGCCCUUACGAGUAGGGCUACACACGUGCUACAAUGGCAUAUACAAAGAGAAGCGACCUCGCGAGAGCAAGCGGACCUCAUAAAGUAUGUCGUAGUCCGGAUUGGAGUCUGCAACUCGACUCCAUGAAGUCGGAAUCGCUAGUAAUCGUGGAUCAGAAUGCCACGGUGAAUACGUUCCCGGGCCUUGUACACACCGCCCGUCACACCAUGGGAGCGGGUUGCAAAAGAAGUAGGUAGCUUAACCUUCGGGAGGGCGCUUACCACUUUGUGAUUCAUGACUGGGGUGAAGUCGUAACAAGGUAACC